CCUACGGGGGGCAGCAGUGAGGAAUAUUGGUCAAUGGGCUUACGCCUGAACCAGCCAAGUCGCGUGAGGGAAGACUGCCCUAUGGGUUGUAAACCUCUUUUGUCAGGGAGCAACGCCGGCUACGUGUAGCCGGACUGAGAGUACCUGAAGAAAAAGCAUCGGCUAACUCCGUGCCACCAGCCGCGGUAAUACGGAGGAUGCGAGGGUUAUCCGGAUUGAUUGGGUUUAAAGGGUGCGUAGGCGGAAUGCCAAGUCAGCGGUAAAGUCGCGGGGCUCAACCUCGCUCCGCCGUUGAAACUGGCGUUCUUGAGUGGGCGAGAAGUAUGCGGAAUGCGUGGUGUAGCGGUGAAAUGCAUAGAUAUCACGCAGAACUCCGAUUGCGAAGGCAGCAUACCGGCGCCCAACUGACGCUGAAGCACGAAAGCGUGGGUAUCGAACAGGAUUAGAUACCCUAGUAGUC
RNAcentral lists this ribosomal RNA (460 nucleotides) under uncultured bacterium. Its description in RNAcentral is "partial 16S ribosomal RNA". It matches the Rfam family "Bacterial small subunit ribosomal RNA", at positions 338 to 795 of the family's 1533-position model. The record is from RNAcentral.